GAUGAACGCUGGCGGCGUGCCUAACACAUGCAAGUCGAACGGAGCUGCUUUGAUGAAGUUUUCGGAUGGAUUUAAAACAGCUUAGUGGCGGACGGGUGAGUAACGCGUGGGUAACCUGCCUCACACUGGGGGAUAACAGUUAGAAAUAGCUGCUAAUACCGCAUAAGUGCACGGUUCCGCAUGGAACAGUGUGAAAAACUCCGGUGGUGUGAGAUGGACCCGCGUCUGAUUAGCCAGUUGGCGGGGUAACGGCCCACCAAAGCGACGAUCAGUAGCCGGCCUGAGAGGGUGAACGGCCACAUUGGGACUGAGACACGGCCCAAACUCCUACGGGAGGCAGCAGUGGGGAAUAUUGCACAAUGGGGGAAACCCUGAUGCAGCGACGCCGCGUGAGUGAAGAAGUAUUUCGGUAUGUAAAGCUCUAUCAGCAGGGAAGAAA
Molecule: ribosomal RNA, 439 nt
Filed under: uncultured bacterium
Lineage: Bacteria
Description: bacterial SSU rRNA
Rfam family: Bacterial small subunit ribosomal RNA
Source: RNAcentral